UAGCCGAAGCCGGGGACAUGGCAACCAUAAUUC
Molecule: small RNA, 33 nt
Filed under: Bombyx mori (domestic silkworm)
Lineage: Eukaryota; Metazoa; Arthropoda; Insecta; Lepidoptera; Bombycidae
Description: ovarian small RNA-22360
Source: RNAcentral